This 95-nucleotide signal recognition particle RNA is filed under the name Bacillota bacterium. Its description in RNAcentral is "signal recognition particle sRNA small type". It matches the Rfam family "Bacterial small signal recognition particle RNA". Rfam says of the family: The signal recognition particle (SRP) is a universally conserved ribonucleoprotein involved in the co-translational targeting of proteins to membranes. Archaeal SRP consists of a 7S RNA and homologues of the eukaryotic SRP19 and SRP54 proteins. In most bacteria, the SRP consists of a 4.5S RNA and the Ffh protein (a homologue of the eukaryotic SRP54 protein). The record is from RNAcentral. Lineage: Bacteria; Bacillati; Bacillota.
UAAAUAAGCCAUCGCGAUAAUUUGCUAUGAACCAGGUCAGGAUAGGAAUAUAGCAGCCUUAAGUAGAUAAAUUAUGUGCGAUGGUUUAUUUGUAU